GAUAUUGCCAUAGCCGCUGGUGCUUUUUUAAUAAUAGAGGCAUUAACGGAGGCUAAAAAAAAAUAAAAAAGGAAAACAACAAAGAAUGUGGGCAAGGCGCCUAUUUUUGCGUCGUCAAAAUGUGGCAUUACUCAAUGACCUAGAUCAUAUGUAUAUGCAAAAUUUUACAAGGAUGGGUGCAGAAGAUUUUGAAAAUCUGAUAUGUUUAGUAGGUCCUGAAAUAGCCAAAAAAGACACAACUUUUUCGAAAGGCAAUUCCGGUGCAAGAUCGUCUGACAGUCACACUUCGCUUUUUAGCAACAGGGGACUCGUACAGUAGCCUACAAUACUUAUUUAGAAUAUCAAAACAAUCAAUUGAAACCUGCAAAGCACUCGUUCAAGAACUUAAGGAUAAAAUAAAGAUGCCUAGCAGUUCCAAAGAAUGGUUACAGACUAGUAGACAGUAUGAAGGAAAGUGGCAAUUUCCUCAUUGUGUUGGGUCAAUGGAUGGCAAGCAUGUUACAAUACAGGCCCCUUUUAACAGUGCCCUUGUUGAUGCCGACUACAAUUUUAUAUUUGUUGACAUUGGAUGCCAAGGAAGGAUAUCAGAAGGAGGAGUAUACAAAAAUACAACGCUUUACCGAAAAUUAGAAAAUAAUGAUCUAGGUUUGCCAGAAUAUUCUUCGUUGUCCAAUUCGAAUAAACCAAUGCCCUACGUUUUUCUAACAGAUGAGGCAUUUGCUUUAACGAAUCAUAUUAUGAAGCCCUUUUCUGGAAUACAUGAAGAAAGCAAUCUUGAAAGAACAUUUAACUAUCGACUAAGCCGCGCAAGAAGGGUAGUGGAAAACGUUUUUGGAAUUCCAUCAGCAAUAUUUAGGGUCCUAAGAAAGCCAAUAUUGUUUAGCCCUGAAAAAACACUAAAAGUGGUAAUGGCGGCUUGCUGUUUACAUAAUAAUUAUCUGAGGAAAAGCCGCCAAUCCAAUAAUAUUUACACUCCUCCGGGAAGUUUUGAACAUCAAGAAGACGAUCAAGGCAAUUAAUUUUAUCCCUGGCAGUUGGAGGCAGGAAAAACCUUCUGAAACAUCAGUAUUGCCUCUUAAAAAUAUUCCAAGAAAAUCGGCAUCUACAGCUAAAGAAAUCCGUAAUAGCUUUGCUCAAUAUUUGGUAAAGAAUUAGUUUUGAAAUUGAAGUAUAUUAUUUUUAAACAUGACUUGUGAUUAGAUUUACAUACCUCAACUGAA
Long non-coding RNA from Leptinotarsa decemlineata (Colorado potato beetle), 1220 nucleotides. The record is from RefSeq and is a predicted model, not a curated record. NCBI's taxonomy places the organism in Eukaryota, Metazoa, Arthropoda, Insecta, Coleoptera, Chrysomelidae.